UACUUGAAGGUCUUCCUUGUGCCCUGGAGGU
This 31-nucleotide non-coding RNA is filed under the name Rattus norvegicus (Norway rat). Lineage: Eukaryota; Metazoa; Chordata; Mammalia; Rodentia; Muridae. The record is from RNAcentral.